Molecule: transfer RNA, 74 nt
Filed under: Alistipes sp. An31A
Lineage: Bacteria; Pseudomonadati; Bacteroidota; Bacteroidia; Bacteroidales; Rikenellaceae
Rfam family: tRNA
About the family: Transfer RNA (tRNA) molecules are approximately 80 nucleotides in length. Their secondary structure includes four short double-helical elements and three loops (D, anti-codon, and T loops).
Source: Rfam by way of RNAcentral
GGGGGAUUAGCUCAGUUGGCUAGAGCAUCUGCUUUGCAAGCAGAGGGUCAAGGGUUCGACUCCCUUAUCCUCCA